This 1291-nucleotide long non-coding RNA is filed under the name Piliocolobus tephrosceles (Ugandan red Colobus). Its description in RNAcentral is "lncRNA (ENSPTEG00000012359.1)". Lineage: Eukaryota; Metazoa; Chordata; Mammalia; Primates; Cercopithecidae. The record is from RNAcentral.
AUGUUAUUUUUUGUAAAUGUCAUAAACAACUUUGUUCGUAUACUUAUACCUCAAGUGCUUUUUAACGAAAAACUGAAACAUGACUAUUUAACUUGCAACGAAAUGGAAAAUACAAAAAAAAUAAAAAAUAAGUACGAGGAAAUAUCUUUUGAAGAUAAAAUUGUCCUAAACACAUGUAAUCCCAUAUUUUCGUUUAUAGAAAUAUUAAUUAUCAACAACCAUGAAAGAUACGAAAAGGCUUUUUAUGUCGACUUAAUAAAAACAUUGAUCAACGAAUGUAGAAAAAUAGAAAGACAGUACAAUAUUAUGAAAAUAAUACAUGAUGAAUAUAUAUUAUUUAUUAAAGGAGAUGAUUAUAAAAAAAAACAAAACUUAUAUAUUGAUAGAAAUUAUUUGAAAAUAAAAAAAUUGAGUAAACAAAGAUUGGAAUCAACGGCAUCAUUUCAUGUGUCAGAUGAGUAUAGUUCUUCUGCUUAUUCAGAGACUGAAGAAGAGGAAGAGGAAGAGGAAGAGGAAGAGGAAGAGGAAGAGGAAGAGGAAGAGAAAGAGGAAGAGGAAGAGAAAGAGGAAGAGAAAGAAGAAGAAGCAAAAGAGGAGGAGAAGGAGGAGGAAAAGGAAAGGGGAAAAGAGACAAAAGAUGCAAAAGAUGCAAAAGAUAGAAAAGAAAAAAAUGAAAAGGGAGAAGAGACAAAAGAUGCAAAAGAUAGAAAAGAAAAAAAUGAAAAGGGAGAAGAGACAAAAGAUGCAGGUGAAGGUAAAGAUGGUCAUAAAAACAACGACAGCGCUAAGGCAAAUAAUGAAGAAACGAAUAAUGAGCAGUCUAGUGGCACCGCUCCAAACAUACAGGAGGAUGAUAUAGAUGGAUCUAAAAAAAAAGAAAAGAAAAACAAACUUAUAACUAAUAUAGACCAAAUAAGAAAUAAAAGAAGAUCAAUAUUAUUAGUCGAUCAUAAAAAAUAUUCUCUUAUUUACCAAUCUGUUAUAGUUAGAUAUUUAAAUUUUUUAUUGAAAUAUAUAAAUUGUGAAAAAUAUCAAAUUCGUAUAAUGAUAUUGGAUUUAUUUUUAGAAUUAAUAAAAAAAAAAAAAAACAAAUAAAAAUGAAUUUCUUUUUCAAAAUUUAUUUAAAUUAUUUUUAGAACGAUUAGAGGAUCCUAAUAUGAUUGUUAAAGCAAAAGCUUUAUCUAUUUUGGUUACAUUAACAAAUCGUAAAUACCUUGAUAAUAAUCUUAUAUAUAAUUUUAUAUUUAACAAAACCAUACAAAAAAUAAAUAUGUAUAAAAUAAUAGUAACA